Molecule: ribosomal RNA, 816 nt
Filed under: uncultured bacterium
Lineage: Bacteria
Description: bacterial SSU rRNA
Rfam family: Bacterial small subunit ribosomal RNA
Source: RNAcentral
UAGAGUUUCUUUCUGGCUCAGGAUGAACGCUAGCUACAGGCUUAACACAUGCAAGUCGAGGGGCAGCAUGAACAUAGCUUGCUAUGUUUGAUGGCGACCGGCGCACGGGUGCGUAACACGUAUCCAAUCUGCCCGUCACUCGGGGGAUAGCCUUCUGAAAGGAAGAUUAAUACCCGAUGGCAUGCAUUUCCGGCAUCGGAGAUGCAUUAAAGAUUUAUCGGUGACGGAUGAGGAUGCGUACGAUUAGCUUGUUGGCGGGGUAACGGCCCACCAAGGCGACGAUCGUUAGGGGUUCUGAGAGGAAGGUCCCCCACACUGGAACUGAGACACGGUCCAGACUCCUACGGGAGGCAGCAGUGAGGAAUAUUGGUCAAUGGGCGAGAGCCUGAACCAGCCAAGUAGCGUGAAGGAUGAAGGUUCUAUGGAUUGUAAACUUCUUUUAUACGGGAAUAAAACACACCACGUGUGGUGUCUUGUAUGUACCGUAUGAAUAAGCAUCGGCUAACUCCGUGCCAGCAGCCGCGGUAAUACGGAGGAUGCGAGCGUUAUCCGGAUUUAUUGGGUUUAAAGGGAGCGUAGACGGGGGAUUAAGUCAGUUGUGAAAGGCUGCGGCUCAACCGCAGCACUGCAGUUGAUACUGGUUUCCUUGAGUGCGGUUGAGGUAUGUGGAAUUCGUGGUGUAGCGGUGAAAUGCUUAGAUAUCACGAAGAACUCCGAUUGCGAAGGCAGCAUACUAAGCCGUAACUGACGUUGAGGCUCGAAAGUGUGGGUAUCAAACAGGAUUAGAUACCCUGGUAGUCCACACGGUAAACGAUG